CGCGGUUCCGAAUAGAUAGCAGGAGAGCCGACGAAUUCAUUUCAUCCACAGCUCUUGGCGAGAGAAGAAGUUUGGCUGCCCAAGCUCCGAUUAUUCUGACGCAUGAUUAUUUGAUACACAGUGCAGUGAAGUUGGUGUGAAAUUUGUGUAGUGGAACUGAAAAAUCAUCUAAAUUAAGGAUUAAAUUGUGCUGAUUGGUUCCAAUUCAACCACUUCAGGAUGUGGCUGAAAACGUUGAGUGCUACUGCAGUGCGACUUGAGGCUCAAAAGCACAGCUCGUUGCAGAAAUUAUGCAGAACAUUCUCGACCCAGCUGAGUGAACCAAGUGGACCAUCUGUCAAAACUGCCAUCCCUGGGCCGAAAUCGAAGGAUCUGUUGAAGCAACUGAAUUCCCUGCAGGUAUGUAGAAAUAAUU
Molecule: long non-coding RNA, 415 nt
Organism: Armigeres subalbatus
Lineage: Eukaryota; Metazoa; Arthropoda; Insecta; Diptera; Culicidae
Exons: 3
Source: RefSeq, a predicted model, not a curated record